Molecule: long non-coding RNA, 275 nt
Filed under: Malus domestica (apple)
Lineage: Eukaryota; Viridiplantae; Streptophyta; Magnoliopsida; Rosales; Rosaceae
Description: long non-coding RNA (MDOM_LNC011792)
Source: RNAcentral
UUGGAUUCAGAGUUUUUGAUGAAGGAAGACGAUGAAUCGACGACCGGCGGCGGUGCUACUUGUUCUGCAACGUCUUGAGUUGCAGAUGCAAAUGGAACAUGUGCUCCUGGUUCUGGAACAUCUUGAGGUGCUGAUGUAGAUGGAACAGGUAUAGAUGCAGACGGAACAGGUAUAGAUGCAGAUGGAACAUCUAGAUUUGCUGCUCGUUCAAUGACCUGAGUUGCAGAUGCAGAUAGAGCAGCUGCUGCUGUUGCUGUAAUUUCUGCCUCAGACCC